UGAUCCUGGCUCAGAUUGAACGCUGGCGGCAGGCUUAACACAUGCAAGUUCGAGCGGAGAGAGGUAGCUUGCUACUGAUCUUAGCGGCGGACGGGUGAGUAAUACUUAGGAAUCUGGCUAUUAGUGGGGGACAACAUUUCGAAAGGGAUGCUAAUACCGCAUACGUCCUACGGGAGAAAGCAGGGGAUCUUCGGACCUUGCGCUAAUAGAUGAGCCUAAGUCGGAUUAGCUAGUUGGUGGGGUAAAGGCCUACCAAGGCGACGAUCUGUAGCGGGUCUGAGAGGAUGAUCCGCCACACUGGGACUGAGACACGGCCCAGACUCCUACGGGAGGCAGCAGUGGGGAAUAUUGGACAAUGGGGGGAACCCUGAUCCAGCCAUGCCGCGUGUGUGAAGAAGGCCUUAUGGUUGUAAAGCACUUUAAGCGAGGAGGAGGGUACUGGUAUUAAUACUACCAGGUACUGGACGUUACUCGCAGAAUAAGCACCGGCUAACUCUGUGCCAGCAGCCGCGGUAAUACAGAGGGUGCGAGCGUUAAUCGGAUUUACUGGGCGUAAAGCGUGCGUAGGCGGCUAAUUGAGUCGGAUGUGAAAUCCCCGAGCUUAACUUGGGAAUUGCAUUCGAUACUGGUUAGCUAGAGUGUGGGAGAGGAUGGUAGAAUUCCAGGUGUAGCGGUGAAAUGCGUAGAGAUCUGGAGGAAUACCGAUGGCGAAGGCAGCCAUCUGGCCUAACACUGACGCUGAGGUACGAAAGCAUG
RNAcentral lists this ribosomal RNA (756 nucleotides) under uncultured bacterium. RNAcentral describes it as "bacterial SSU rRNA". It matches the Rfam family "Bacterial small subunit ribosomal RNA", at positions 14 to 763 of the family's 1533-position model. The record is from RNAcentral.